GUCAAUCUGACGAGUCCCACAUAGGACGAAACGCGCGUUCUGGAU
Schistosoma mansoni is the source of this 45-nucleotide non-coding RNA. The record is from Rfam. Lineage: Eukaryota; Metazoa; Platyhelminthes; Trematoda; Strigeidida; Schistosomatidae.